UGCCGGUCCACAACAGUGUGUUCUUGA
Molecule: non-coding RNA, 27 nt
Filed under: Mus musculus (house mouse)
Lineage: Eukaryota; Metazoa; Chordata; Mammalia; Rodentia; Muridae
Source: RNAcentral